Molecule: long non-coding RNA, 573 nt
Filed under: Capra hircus (goat)
Lineage: Eukaryota; Metazoa; Chordata; Mammalia; Artiodactyla; Bovidae
Description: lncRNA (ENSCHIG00000007161.1)
Source: RNAcentral
CUAGGGGCAGAGCUAGGCUCCUGACUGCAAGGUACAUAGCUGUCACAACUAAUACAUUUAGAAAGGCAACUAGACUCAUGGCUGAUGUGACUGCAACCUGGUGCUCAGUGGCCUAAAUUCAUACUACCAGUAACUCAGAAACCAGUGUUCAAUCAAGCAGCAAACACUGUCAGAGGUCCAGUCCCUUGCUGAGCUGUUUGGUAAAUGGUAAGAAAAAUAGAGUGGAGGGUAAAAGGAAAGAGCCGUUAAUACACAAUGUGGCUGGGCUCUCAUUGGCGCUGUGUUCAGCGUCACCUUAUAUACUAAUAAAUGGGCAACAAGGAACAGUGCCUGACCACAACACACAACAAAACAGAAAGCAAAGUGGGUAAGAUAAUUAUCUCAACAGAUAACCUGCGGCUGCUUCAUGGAGGAGAUGCUAUUUGGCCAGACUUUAAGAGAUUUAUACACCGGAAAGCUGAAUGAGGAAGACAUCAAGAAGUACAGAUCCACAAGAAGGAGGAUCCUAAACCCCUAUAUCGUGAUGCUAUACUUCUAUCAAUACCUACCACGAAUGGCCAAAUUGAAAUUUAU